This is a long non-coding RNA of Sarcophilus harrisii (Tasmanian devil), 1744 nucleotides long. The record is from Ensembl. Lineage: Eukaryota; Metazoa; Chordata; Mammalia; Dasyuromorphia; Dasyuridae.
GCCCGGGCGCCCCGCGGCGCCGCCCCCUGGGCCAAUAGGCGCCCGGGCAGCGGCGCCGCGUGUGGCACGAGCAGGGAAACUCAGGGCGGGCGCAAUUGCAGCCCGGGGAAGGUGUCUGAGGUCGGGAGGCGUGAGAGCCCGGAGCCGGAGCCUGAAGUCCGACGGGAAGAUGGCGCUAAGAAUGCUGCAGAAGGCCGGCCGCGCGGCCGCCGCUGCUGCUGCAAGAGCCGGAGCCGGAGUCGGAGCCGGAACCGGAGCGGGGCUCCUGCGCAAUCUGAAAUUCUCUCUGGCAGUGAAUGUUUUCAAGAUUGGUUAUUGUUCUUCAGUUAAUCACAAGUACACUCCGAGGAGGGCAGUACUGUAUGUUCCUGGAAAUGAUGAGAAGAAAAUACAGAAAGUACCAUCACUGAAUGUAGACUGUGCUGUAUUAGACUGUGAAGAUGGUGUGGCUAUGAACAAAAAGGAGGAAGCAAGGCUGAGAAUAGUGAAGACUCUCGAGGAGUUUGAUUUGGGCCCUACUGAAAAGUGUGUAAGGAUCAACGCAGUCUCUAGUGGUCUUGCUGAGAAAGAUUUGGAGGUCCUGCUGCAAUCCCAGGUCCUCCCUUCCAGCCUGAUGCUGCCAAAGGUUGAAAAUCCUGAAGAAAUACGAUGGUUUUCAGACAAAUUUUUAUUCCACUUAAAAGGCCGAACACUUAUAGAACCAAUGAACUUAAUCCCUUUUGUGGAAACUGCCAUGGGUUUGCUCAAUUUUAAGGCUGUCUGCGAAGAAACAUUGAAGACUGGAUCUCGAGCUGGUCUUCAUCUAGAUGCAGUCGUUUUUGGAGGAGAGGAUUUCCGGGCUAGCAUAGGUGCAACAAGUAGUAAGGAAACUCAAGAUAUUCUCUAUGCCCGGCAAAAGAUUGUCGUUAUAGCAAAAGCCUUUGGUCUACAAGCCAUAGAUCUUGUAUAUAUCGACUUUCGAGAUGAAGAUGGACUCCGCAGGCAGUCAAGAGAGGGAGCCAUCAUGGGCUUUACUGGUAAGCAGGUGAUCCACCCAAACCAAAUUGCAGUGGUCCAAGAGCAGUUUUCUCCAACGAGUGAAAAAAUUAAGUGGGCCGAAGAACUGAUUUCAGCUUUUAAAGAACAUCAACAAUUAGGAAAGGGAGCCUUUACUUUCCAUGGGAGUAUGAUAGACAUGCCAUUACUGAAGCAGGCACAGAACAUUGUUACGCUUGCCACAGCCAUCAAGAAAAAAUGAUCUGCUAAAAGAAACUCUCCCCAGGCUAAAGGGUAUUGAAGCCGCCGAGGAUCAACUUGUGGUUGCCAGAGGACGCCAAUGAAGUUUGAAACACCAACAAUCAGAGAUUUUGUUUCUGUUCCUCAUUAAAUCAUGAGCUUUUGUGUCCAGACUCUGAACGACUGUUCUUUAAGAAAUUAACAGAAUGGGAAGUUUUAAACUCUGCACCAACCUUUUCAUGACCUACACAGCAGCAAUGCUGCUGCACUUAGACAAACACCACGGGGAAGGCUGUUCUGUUUAUUUAAAUUUGUAAAUAGAAAACAGUUGUUUUUUAGUUUCAUUUUUCCCCAGACCACCCCCUCCUUCUCCCCAUGUCCCUUUUGCAUAUGUCCUAUAAGGCCCCUACGACACCUCCCAACCAAGGGCUUCCCUGGUUCUCCCUGUUGAAUUGGCUAUUUUAAUAAUUUUCACUCAAAGAGGUUUCUGACAGAAACGAGGAUAUGAAUAAAAGUUGCAAAAUGAGCA